GAUGGUAACGCUGUUGAUUCUCAAGCAAUAACCAAGAUGAAACUUGCCCAAAUUGAGAAGAGGCCUCCUAGGGUACCUCGGCCGCCUCCUAAAGCAUCUGGAGAUGCCCCUGCUGGUACAACUCCCAAACCCUCAAGUGGAGUACCACCUCCUCCACCAGGUGGCCCACCACCGCCGCCACCCCCACCUGGUGGACCACCUCGUCCACCUCCUCCACCAGGAAGCCUGCCAAGGGGGGCAGGCAGUGCUGAUAAAGUGCACCGUGCUCCUGAGCUGGUUGAAUUUUAUCAGUCAUUGAUGAAACGUGAAGCAAAGAAGGAUACAUCAUCUUUAAUAUCUUCAUCAUCU
This 348-nucleotide long non-coding RNA is filed under the name Prunus persica (peach). RNAcentral's name for it is "long non-coding RNA (PPER_LNC001334)". The record is from RNAcentral. Lineage: Eukaryota; Viridiplantae; Streptophyta; Magnoliopsida; Rosales; Rosaceae.